AUUGAACGCUGGCGGCAGGCCUAACACAUGCAAGUCGAGCGGAUGAAGGGAGCUUGCUCCUGGAUUCAGCGUCGGACGGGUGAGUAAUGCCUAUGAAUCUGCCUGGUAGUGGUGGAUAACGUCCUGAAACGGGCGCUAAUACCGCAUACGUCCUGAUGGAGAAAGUGGGGGAGCUUCGGACCGCACGCUAGCAUAGGAGCCUAGGUGGGAUUAGCUAGUUGGUGGGGUAAAGGCCUACCAAGGCGACGAUCCGUAACUGGUCUGAGAGGAUGAUGAGUCACACUGGAAAUGAGACACGGCCCAGACUCCUACGGGAGGCAGCAGUGGGGAAUAUUGGACAAUGGGCGAAAGACUGAUCCAGCCAUGCAGCGUGUGUGAAGAAGGUCUUCGGAUUGUAAAGCACUUUAAGUUGGGAGGAAGGGCAGUAAGUUAAUACCUGGCUGUUUUGACGUUACCAACAGAAUAAGCACCGGCUAACUUCGU
Molecule: ribosomal RNA, 483 nt
Filed under: uncultured bacterium
Lineage: Bacteria
Description: partial 16S ribosomal RNA
Rfam family: Bacterial small subunit ribosomal RNA
Source: RNAcentral